Molecule: ribosomal RNA, 301 nt
Filed under: uncultured bacterium
Lineage: Bacteria
Description: partial 16S ribosomal RNA
Rfam family: Bacterial small subunit ribosomal RNA
Source: RNAcentral
CAGUAGCCGCGGGAAUACAGAGGGUGCGAGCGUUAAUCGGAUUUACUGGGCGUAAAGCGUGCGUAGGCGGCUAAUUGAGUCGGAUGUGAAAUCCCCGAGCUUAACUUGGGAAUUGCAUUCGAUACUGGUUAGCUAGAGUGUGGGAGAGGAUGGUAGAAUUCCAGGUGUAGCGGUGAAAUGCGUAGAGAUCCGGAGGAAUACCGAUGGCGAAGGCAGCCAUCUGGCCUAACACUGACGCUGAGGUACGAAAGCAUGGGGAGCAAACAGGAUUAGAUACCCCCGUAGUCCCUGUCUCUUAUAC